RNAcentral lists this ribosomal RNA (253 nucleotides) under uncultured bacterium. RNAcentral describes it as "partial 16S ribosomal RNA". It matches the Rfam family "Bacterial small subunit ribosomal RNA", at positions 524 to 776 of the family's 1533-position model. The record is from RNAcentral.
CACGUAAGGGGCGAGCGUUGUUCGGAAUUAUUGGGCGUAAAGGGCACGCAGGCGGUUGUGCAAGUCUGAUGGGAAAGACCUGGGCUCAACUCAGGGAACGCGUUGGAAACUGCAUGACUAGAGUAUUAGAGGGGGAGUCGGAAUUCCUAGUGUAGGGGUGAAAUCUGUUGAUAUUAGGAAGAACACCGGUGGCGAAGGCGGACUCCUGGCUGAAUACUGACGCUGAGGUGCGAAAGCAUAGGGAGCAAACAGG